This 366-nucleotide long non-coding RNA is filed under the name Phoenix dactylifera (date palm). Its description in RNAcentral is "long non-coding RNA (PDAC_LNC002086)". The record is from RNAcentral. Lineage: Eukaryota; Viridiplantae; Streptophyta; Magnoliopsida; Arecales; Arecaceae.
AAUUGUUUUAAGAUUCAAAAACACAAGACAAAUAAAGCUACUUAGCCAAUUCCCUUUCACCAUAUCAUCUUUAAAAUUCUAUCAUUAUGGCUAAUUAACUAGACCUCCAAAUACCUAUUUUUUGAAAACUAAGAUGGGAGAAAGACCAGCCAAAAUUGGGAUAAGGGCAAGACUUGAACCCAAGUCUCUAGUACGUAACUCUUAAUAGCAAUCAAUUAUAUAAGUUGGUGCCUAACCCUCUAAAAAACUAAACCUUCAAUGAUGUAUCAACUUAUACAAAUGGGGAAAAAAUUCUCUCAAAACCACCGAUAUUCAAGGAAAGAUUGAUUUAGGAAUGUCAAUGGGUUAGGCCUAGUCAUAUCAUGU